AUGAUUAAUUUUAAAUGGCCGCGGUAUCCUAACCGUGCAAAGGUAGCAUAAUCAUUAGUUUUUUAAUUGAAAGGACAUGUUUUUAAUAAACAGGUAAAAAAAUAUUUUGCCGAAUUCCUUUUAAAAACCUAAAUUUUAAAAUUUAAAUAAAAUUAUACUAAUUUAAUCAUUAUUUCUAUUUAUUUAAAAUUAAUAAAUAUAUUUUAAUAAAAAAUUUAAAAUAAAAGAAAAUUAUAUUUAUAAUAUAAUAAAUUAUAACAUUUUUUUAAUGAUGAAAAAUUCUAAUCCUACAUUUAAUAUAUUUUAAUUUAUUUAUAAAAAUUUAUUUUAAAGCUUAUCCCCUAAAAUAUAACCAAUUACUAAUAUUUAAUUAAAUAUAUAAAAAAAUAUUCAUAAUUAACAAAUUAAAUUUUUUUCUUAAAAAACUAGAUAUAUUUAAAAACGAAUAACGUUUCAUUUCUAACUUAUUAUUUAUAGUAGUUAUUCCACAAUAAUAAAUAUAAUAAAUCAGCUCUUUUAAAUUCGAGAAUAUUUAAUAUAAAAUUAUUAUUUAAUCAACCCUGGUACCCAAGGUACUAAAAAUUAAUUAUUCUUUUAAAUAUUUAAAUUAAUUCUUUCACAAUACUAUUUCACUAUAAUAAAAUAUAUUUUUUCUAAUUAUAUAAUAAAAUCCCUAAUA
Molecule: long non-coding RNA, 679 nt
Organism: Aethina tumida (small hive beetle)
Lineage: Eukaryota; Metazoa; Arthropoda; Insecta; Coleoptera; Nitidulidae
Exons: 2
Source: RefSeq, a predicted model, not a curated record